GACGAACGCUGGCGGCGUGCUUAACACAUGCAAGUCGAACGAAGUGGCGAACGGGUGAGUAACGCGUAAUAAACCUGCCCUUCAGAGGGGGACAACAGUUGGAAACGACUGCUAAUACCGCAUACUGAAGGAGGGGAUUGCGUCUGAUUAGCUAGUUGGAGGGGUAACGGCCCCCCAAGGCGAUGAUCAGUAGGCGGUCUGGGAGGAUGAACGGCCACAUUGGGACUGGGACACGGCCCAGACUCCUACGGGAGGCAGCAGUUGGGAAACUUCCGCAAUGGACGAAAGUCUUACGGCGCAACGCCGCGUUAGUGAUAACGGCCUUCGGGUUGUUAAGCUCUGUUAAUCGGGACGCGGUACCGGAAUAGAAAGCCACGGCUAACUACGUGCCAGCAGCCGCGGUAAUUC
This 408-nucleotide ribosomal RNA is filed under the name uncultured bacterium. RNAcentral describes it as "partial 16S ribosomal RNA". It matches the Rfam family "Bacterial small subunit ribosomal RNA", at positions 28 to 526 of the family's 1533-position model. The record is from RNAcentral.